CGUACACUCCUGCGGGAGGCAGCAGUGGGGAAUAUUGGACAAUGGGCGCAAGCCUGAUCCAGCCAUGCCGCGUGAGUGAUGAAGGCCCUAGGGUUGUAAAGCUCUUUUGUGCGGGAAGAUAAUGACGGUACCGCAAGAAUAAGCCCCGGCUAACUUCGUGCCAGCAGCCGCGGUAAUACGAAGGGGGCUAGCGUUGCUCGGAAUCACUGGGCGUAAAGGGUGCGUAGGCGGUUCUUUAAGUCAGGUGUGAAAUCCUGGAGCUCAACUCCAGAACUGCCUUUGAUACUGAAGAUCUUGAGUUCGGGAGAGGUGAGUGGAACUGCGAGUGUAGAGGUGAAAUGCGUAGAUAUUCGCAAGAACACCAGUGGCGAAGGCGGCUCACUAGCCCGAUACUGACGCUGAGGCACGAAAGCGUGGGGAGCAAACAGGAUUAGAAACCCCUGUAGUCCCA
RNAcentral lists this ribosomal RNA (451 nucleotides) under uncultured organism. RNAcentral describes it as "partial 16S ribosomal RNA". It matches the Rfam family "Bacterial small subunit ribosomal RNA", at positions 330 to 797 of the family's 1533-position model. The record is from RNAcentral.